GACGAACGCUGGCGGCGUGCUUAACACAUGCAAGUCGAGCGGUAAGGCCCUUUCGGGGGUACACGAGCGGCGAACGGGUGAGUAACACGUGGGUGACCUGCCCUUAGCUCUGGGAUAAGCCUGGGAAACUGGGUCUAAUACCGGAUAUGACUCCAUAACGCAUGUUGUGGGGUGGAAAGCCUUGUGCGGCUAGGGAUGGGGCCCGCGGCCUAUCAGCUUGUUGGUGGGGUGAUGGCCACCAAGGCGACGACGGGUAGCCGGCCUGAGAGGGCGACCGGCCACACUGGGACUGAGACACGGCCCAGACUCCUACGGGAGGCAGCA
This 324-nucleotide ribosomal RNA is filed under the name uncultured bacterium. Its description in RNAcentral is "bacterial SSU rRNA". It matches the Rfam family "Bacterial small subunit ribosomal RNA", at positions 28 to 353 of the family's 1533-position model. The record is from RNAcentral.